UUUUUAAAUUUUUUGACAGUAAGUUUGUUGUCAACUGCAAGAAACUAAGAACUAAGAAUGUUACAUAACACCGCAUAACACCAGAACACGGGCUGGCAGCCGGGCAUAAGCCCUGACCCUGUGGUACCCUCUUGUGACUUGUGAGUGUAAUGCACUACAAGGAGAACCCCAAUUAAAAUUCAUGAGCUGAACUUAUUGAUAGAAACUAUGGAAGAUUGCUGAAAUUUUAGAUUGAUAAAUUGGCAAUUAAUUAAUUAUCACCGCCAGGUUACUGUUUACGUCAUAAAUUUGCUUGGCUUCUCAGGGAAGUUCGUCUGCAUUAAAAAUGGCGUCGGCCAUGUAAGUUCGUAAGCUAGCCCGUGAGGUUGUUGCUGCCAAGUGCCUGCCAGUUUAACAGUGUAAUAAAGCUUGACAUUGACAUCAUAGGAAGUUUACCGACUGGCAUCAUCACUUCAUCACCUGAGCUGAUUCCACCGAGGUUAAAAAAGGAAUACCAAAUUCAUCAAAAUGGAGGCAGAAGAUUGUAUUUAUGGAUCGUGGAAAUUACCAGUUUUCACUACAAGUCCCUUCCCAGUUUUCACAACUUCAGCUGCAGAAAAUCAGCUUUACGGCAUAAGUUGGGAAUGAGUGCAAUAGGUUCCCUUGGUACUUCUGAAGCAGUUGAUGAUAGUGUUAAUGAAGUAAGUGUUAUACUCCAUUCUCAUAAAAAAAACGUGCAGAAACUUCCAAACAGCAAACAGGUGCUGCUAUUUUAGUCCUUGUCUAAAUGUGUAGAUGAAAACAGUUUGUGGCAUUUAUCAGAGAAUAAAAUGGCAACAACCAAGAUUGUAUUUUAUUGGUUAUCUUAUCAUCACAGA
RNA transcript from Daphnia pulex (common water flea), 857 nucleotides. RefSeq lists it as uncharacterized. The transcript is spliced from 3 exons. NCBI's taxonomy places the organism in Eukaryota, Metazoa, Arthropoda, Branchiopoda, Diplostraca, Daphniidae. The record is from RefSeq and is a predicted model, not a curated record.